CAGGUGCAUGCUUCUAGCAUGAAGUCAGAC
RNAcentral lists this ribosomal RNA (30 nucleotides) under Symbiodinium sp. One0504-8. RNAcentral's name for it is "partial 28S ribosomal RNA". Lineage: Eukaryota; Dinophyceae; Suessiales; Symbiodiniaceae. The record is from RNAcentral.